AACAUAUUAAAGAAUGUGCAGUAAAGUGUGUAUUCAAUGGUUUUACCCAAGGCAAUUUUAAUUUCCUGCUAUAUAAAUGUUUUUUUCAGGUGCUUUGUCACCCCACAGGAAGUAUGAUCUCCCAUGGCAAAAGGAGCACCCACUGUGCCAUCAUCCAAGACAACUAAGUAUGUUGUCUGCCUGGAGAAAAGGAAAGAAAGCUUAAGAAAUGUUGUUUUCAAGACAGAGGAAUAUUAAUGGUUACCUGUGAGGCAAAACCCCUGGGACUGCUUUCUAGAUUGCUCCCUCUUGUGAACAGGAGACUGCUGUCAGGAGAGGUCUUCA
Molecule: long non-coding RNA, 324 nt
Organism: Xenopus laevis (African clawed frog)
Lineage: Eukaryota; Metazoa; Chordata; Amphibia; Anura; Pipidae
Exons: 3
Source: RefSeq, a predicted model, not a curated record